UACGUAGGGGGCUAGCGUUGUCCGGAAUCAUUGGGCGUAAAGCGCGUGUAGGCGGUCCGGUAAGUCCGCUGUGAAAGUCGGGGGCUCAACCCUCGAAUGCCGGUGGAUACUGUCGGGCUAGAGUGCGGAAGAGGCGAGUGGAAUUCCUGGUGUAGCGGUGAAAUGCGCAGAUAUCAGGAGGAACACCAAUUGCGAAGGCAGCUCGCUGGGACGUUACUGACGCUGAGGCACGAAGGCCAGGGGAGCAAACGGG
Molecule: ribosomal RNA, 253 nt
Filed under: uncultured bacterium
Lineage: Bacteria
Description: partial 16S ribosomal RNA
Rfam family: Bacterial small subunit ribosomal RNA
Source: RNAcentral